AACUGGUUACGGCGUUAACGGCGGGUCACCGGACGUUAUAAAUUAGCGCCAAUUUGAGGUGUGCCACCUGCAGACUGCAGCAAGACGAACGCCUUCGCCAUGGAUUACCUGAAAUCAGUUGUGCCUUCACAACUUAUUUCCGAUCGAGGUUCUAAUUUGGUAGUCAUAAACCCAGGAUCUGCAAAUAUUAGGAUUGGCCUUGCAUUGCAGGAUGCUCCUUUUAAUGUUCCUCAUUGCAUUGCUCGUUGUACCAAUCAAGUGCUCAAAAGAAAUGUUCAAGAUCAGGUUUAGAAUUCGUGUUAAGACGUCUACAACAUUAACCGAAAUUGUUAUCUGCACUCAGUGGUAAUGAAGUUGAUUAAGAUCUGUUGCUUAUUUUAUUGCAGUAAUGAACUCUAUCUGGCUGCAUUUUAUUUGCAACUUGAAAACACAUUCUUGGUUUUCUCUUAUACUCUAAGAAGGGCUAGGAUUCACUGAAGUGAAGUUUUUCAUUCAACUGAAUGGAAACAAAUACUUUAUAGAGAUAUGAAACAGGUAAAUAUGUCUGAUACACAACGUGUGGUAGAAGAUAGCAUUCAUGUUGCAUUUCUUGAGCAUAUAGCAUUCUAGUUUGAAGGAUUAAAAGAAACGUGUAAUAAACUAUUCUGUGCUCCUUUAGAUCAACUAAAUUGCAAGAGGAAGUAGAAGCAUACGUUAACUAUAUCAUUUUUUUUUUUCUUGUAUAAUAUAAUUAGGAGACCAUUUUAGUUCACUUUUUGAAUCUCACUUAUCGUCUAUUCAUGUGCUGUUCUUUUGUGUCAUACUUUUGAAGCAAGCAGAGUAGCAAACUGGUAAGUGGUUUUUUGGACUGAUGGAGCAGUAGCUCUAUGUACUUGACAAUCAAAUUAUCUGUUUAUUUAAAGAGACUAUCUAGAAUGCCUUUGAGUUUACCAAACGUUAUUAACCAUCUCAUUGGAAUUUUUCUUACAAGAAGAUAAACUACUUCACUUUUCAAUCCACAAUCCGAAAUUUCCUUGCAGGGCAUGCAAUUUUUAACAUCAUUGGUUCUUGUAUCCAUAUUCUAUUUCGUCUAUUACCAAAAAAAAAAAAAA
Molecule: long non-coding RNA, 1091 nt
Organism: Cucurbita pepo subsp. pepo (vegetable marrow)
Lineage: Eukaryota; Viridiplantae; Streptophyta; Magnoliopsida; Cucurbitales; Cucurbitaceae
Source: RefSeq, a predicted model, not a curated record